Non-coding RNA from Lolium perenne, 5154 nucleotides. The record is from RefSeq and is a predicted model, not a curated record. Lineage: Eukaryota; Viridiplantae; Streptophyta; Magnoliopsida; Poales; Poaceae.
UCAUUACACUCUAAUCCCCUCCAAAACAUGUGUGCCGAACGAGGCCUCACUGUCUAACCACCGCCGGUGUCCACUCCCCUCCCUCCCCGCGGCUACCUCGACGACCCGCUCUUCUCCGCCGGUCUCGUCAACCCCGCGACCCAGCGUAGGUCGUAGUCCGGUGGGAGGUCGCGGCUGCUGGUGCUGGUCGCGCAGGUCGCCGAUUUGUGAGGUCUCGGCCACCGGCGCUGGUCUCUCACGCCACCAAUCUGCUAGGUCGUGGCCGUCGGCGCUGGUUGCGGCCUCCUUCGAUCUGCGAGGCCAUGACCUCUGGUGCCCCGCUAGUGAUUCGAGCACUCAAUUGGCUGGUCACCCUUGUUGCGGGCGCUCCCGGUCUGCAAGGUCGCGGCUGCCGACUCUCAUCGCUCCCGGUCUGCAAGCGUGAGUGGACGUAUGCAGUAGGGAAAGAGGAGCGAGGAACUACAGAUGGCUGAGGAUGAGCAGAAGCAAUAAUUGAUUCGGUUGUUAGCCGUCGCGCAGAUACACAGGAUAAUACACUGCAGUGAGUAGAUGUAUGGACUAUGUAGAAGAUAGUUUUCAGGUCGACGCCUAGAGAUUUACAGAAAACGAAACACUGGCUAAAGGCGCCCUACAUGUGAAUCAAAUGCAUCAAGUGGCUUGAGCUCUCAAACCGGUGGAGCGGUGCGGUGCCUUGAGGGAUUCAAACCGGUGGAGGAGCUUCCGCAGCUCGUCGCCGUCCACGAUCUUCGGUGGCGUCCUGGAGAGAGCGGACGGUAUUUCGCCGAGCUGGAGCACGAGUGCGGCCACGCUGGGCGUGCUCCCCACGACGGAGGGCGACCUGGAACCAAGUCAUCUUUUGGCUCACCGGCGGCAGCGCAGGGCGUGUUCUUACCAAGGGAGGAGCAUGCCUGUAGAAGACGAACAAAUCAAAGACAUCCAGUGCCUAAUCGAGGGAAUUUUAUCAGUUUGAUCCUUGCAUUUAGUACGACACAAGCUGAUGAUUCUGAAGAUCUCUGUUGUUGUAUCUUCUCAGUAAGGGUAUUGGCUAUUACAGAAGGAGUAUUCCAUAGAGAAAAUUCAUCCAGAGAGCACAUAACUUGGCAAAAUGAAAUUCUGGACCAGCAUCACAUGAAAUUGUGAAGGCAUUACUGGACACACAAUCUAGAGUAACUCAAGUGAGCAACAAAGCUGGCAGGUCCGACUUUUGAUGUCCCUUGAAACUUGUUUGAAGAAUGGGCAGGGAUAAAAAAGAUUAUAAGCCAAAUCCCCUAUUUGACCGUGUUAUAGAUGUCCUUUUUUAUUCUUCACGCUGAACACAAAAUGAACUGCUCUACAGCUUCAUGUCUUCAAGAUAAAUCAUGUCUUCCAUUAUCCGCGCAAGUAGUAGGAGUAAAUUGGUGCCUAAUUAGAAAUAUUUAUGUAGUGGUGUCGAUGUGUUCACUGCUCUUUCUGGUGCUGUUGGAGCUCUAUAUGGUACACUGCAUGGUGGCGCAAAUAAGGGUUUUAUAGAACCCCAAGUACCGGUUGCCGUACUUCCGCAACAAGGCCAUAGCACCCAUGUAGCGACGCAUCUUGUCACGUGGACCACCGAUAAAUGUUCCCGGCAACAUGAGAUUCAAUACAGUAGAGCAUUGGACGCUUGGUAGCACCCCAGAGCAAGUGGUAAGGGUGAAUACAUGUACAGAGUAUAGAGUAUGGACCUGGAAUCAUUUUGCUCGGACGGGUAGAAGCCUUGUACAUAUGGUUAUAGCAUGAAAUUAGCUGAAGUCGACGACAACAUCAACAGAUUUCUCUUCCCAGGAUCUUCCCUUGAAGGCGAUGCCGCCAAGAAAGCGGGGAAAAAGGGGGUGACCACCGCUACCAAGCAGCAGCAACCGCAACCGCCCGACCCGCCUGGACCUGACGCUCCCGUGCAGGAGAAGCUGCGGUGGCUUGCUGACCAAGAGAAGGUGGUUAUUGAGGGGCUUGAUCGUGCUGUGCUUUCCAUGAAGAAGGGAGAGAUUGCUCUUGUCACUAUUCCUCCUGAAUAUGCUUAUGGUUCAACAGAGUCGAAGCAGGAUCUUCUGUGAUUCCAGCAAACAGCAUUGUGAUUUAUGAAGUGGAGCUUGUAUUAUUUGUAAAGGAUAAGGAGUCAUGGAACUUAAACAAUGCAGAGAAGAUUGAGGCGUUAAGAAAGAAGAGGGCAAUGCAUUGUUCAAAUUGAGCAAAUUUGGCAGAGCUACGUUUGGCAGAUAAGUUUUUAAAUAAAACCUUGUGGGUGAUAUUAAUUCACAUUUAAUGUUUAAGAACAGUACUGGUUGCAAUUACUUCAGUUAAGUUGAGAAAAACAUAUAGGUACUUGAAGGUCUAUAUGCACUAUAGGACAAAUGCAUGAAAGUAUAGGACACAUAGGUAUUUGAAGGUCUAUAUACACUCGUAAUGCAUGAAAGUAUGACCAUCAGAACCGCUAACGAAGUAAUUGGAGUAAAAUAAAAUGAAGGCAUGAACAUUACCAUCAUUAAUCACGGCUGAUUGUGUUGGUGUAUCGGAACCAUUUACGCCUUCCAUGCUCAUCGAUGGGUUUUCAUCUGCUGAUGAUAUCGCAUGCUUCUUACUAUUUGCAUAGAAUGCUUCAUUUCGAAGACCUAGCAAGGCAUGCCUUUCUCCAGGUGUGACAUGUUUUCUCCGUGACUUAUUACUAACAUCCAUGUCAGGCGUCACCUCCCCUGACAUUUGCUCUGCAAUAGGUUCGAUAUAUAUAGGUGUUCCACUGAAAUCAGGGAUAUGCCAAUCACAUGUGGGUAUGAAGCCUUGAGUAUCAGGAGUAUGAAUAACCCCAGGGGUCCAACAUGGGUUCUCCAUGGCUAUGGAUUCUUUACUCAGACUGUUGCUUCGUAACUCUCGGAGAGCUUUCUUACCACGCUUUUUCUUAGGACUCAUAUCGGCAUAACGGAGCCUAUCCCUUGCACGCAUUUUUUCAAUGUUCUCUGAUAACAUGAAUAAUAAAAUGCUUGUAAGCACGAGUGCAUGUAGCUAUGAAGAAAUCAUCAAUAACAAAUCGCUUACCUGAUAAUGAUCUCUUUUGUUGAUAAGUUGCAUUUCUUCUUGCUAGUAGUUCAUUUUUACCAUCGGUAUUCAUUUGUGCAUAUCUCUCCCUUUCCCGCUCCCUUUUCUUCUCCGUGCAAUCAACAACGGGUGGCUGAAUGCGGGAUGACGUGGGUUCAUUACUACCGCAGUUCUCCAUGUUAGCUAGAAUAAGCAAACCACAUUAAUAAUAAGCAAUAUUAUUAUUUUUUUAUAUCAUUCUAUAUGGCAAAGCAACUUCACACAGUAAACAUGAAUAAGUUGCAAUCAUACCAGUAGGGAUGAUUGUUUGCCCUUGAAAUGGCAUAUGAAUUGACUGCCUCUUAUAGUUGUCAUUUCUUCUUAGCCAUUCAUCAUCUUCUGAAGGAACUUCAGUUUCCUUGUUCGCUAAAGGAACUUCAUUUUCCUUGUUAACUGAGUUUGAUGAUUUUCGUUUUUGAACAGAUUCACGUUGUUUUUUCAGAAAGUUUUCUUUUUUUGUGCUAUCCAUAUGUGCAUAUCGCUCCCUAGCUUGUUGCCUCCUCCGCUCCUUUGGACAUAUGGGUGUUGCGUGAACACUCAAUGAAGUGGGUCCAUCAGUACAACUAUUAUAGGUGUCAACAUUUUCUACACAGAAAAAUAUCACAUAUGUAGCUACAUUAGAUAUGAACUAUUAGAUAGUUGCACUAUUUUUUUUUUGUAGAGAAAUUAGGUGCCUACAUACCAGUCACGAGACUCCGUUGCCCCUGGUAUGCCUCAUUUUCAGCAGCUACACCAUUUUCUAUGUUUGUAGCAGUGUCUCCUUAUCAAAACAAAAGGAGCGUGUGAUUUAGUUGCAUUAUAUACAUGAAUUAAACAUAGGAGCUAUAAAUUGCAAAAACCCAACAUGUGGUUUAGUGCACCUUUAACAGCGGGUGUGCUUUCUAGUUGAGUGAGUGCAGAUGGACCUCCACUUGACUCUUGCGUGCCUGUAACAGAUUGUGUGCUUUGUAGUUUAGCUUUCUUCCGCUGAUAGGAUUCACGACGCUUCUUAAGUAGCUCCUCUUUCUUUUGUGGAUCCAUCAGUGCAUAUAUCUGUCGACGUUGUCUAUUGCGUUCUUUCCCAUCUAUAGGUUCCCCUCCAUUACUGGUGUCCGCGACACCUAAUAAAAUAAACAAUGUAAUCAGUUGUUGAGCAUUGGUUGAUUGACUUACACAUUAUAUAUCAUUGUAGUUACUUGUGGUGAUGCUGUUGGACAAGUCUUUGAACGGACUACGUUCACUCGAUCGUUUCGACGGAUCCAUCUGCAAGUUAGACGGAGGAAACAUGAAUGAUUCGUCGAACUUACCAGAGAUCAAAUCGAUAUGUCGACGGGACCUUCGAAAUUUCCACUUGCAUAUGUCUUGGUUUGCUGGCCGUGCUAAUUGUCUGGGAAAGUAGAACAAAAUCUGGAUAUAUCUAAAGCUUGCAAUGUGAUUUGUUUCGCUGGAAGGUAAUAUGGAUGAAGAACUGAGCAGCGGUUGGUCAGACAUAGGGAACAUGUUUUCACAUAUGCCCAAAUCAUGAUAAGUGAGCAACAAUGAUACCAGGUAAUGUAUGCAGGAAGAAACAUUUACAUAGCAUUGCGAGAAGAAAGUUGUAGCUACUGGAUACCAAGAAUACAUUAGAGGACUUACAUUUGUGUCAGCUAGGAUGGCGUGGUAAAUAAGAUCUCCCAUCCGAGUCAUUUUAAUUCGCGCGGUCACAAUUUUCGCGAUCGUCACCCAACCAUGACCGUAGUAUUAUAGUGUAGAAAGAAGAAGUUACAAGUGAGGAUUCCAGGCGAAACGAGAGUACGGCCUUGGUGGCAUUAUUCUCUUCGAGCAGGCGCGUCCGAAGCUAAGUUGUACUGCCAUGGUUACUUUGUAAGGUUGAAGAUUGGUUGCACCAUAUUCUGCUAAUUUCUAGGCCGGGUCCUGCUUUUGUACAUCAAGUAUUCUGCCCGGGUGCUAUUCACGUCAUCAUUAACCUUCAUUCCAUUUUUCUUCAUAUUACCUUAUGGGACGAUAUUGUUUAUGGAAUGAUCUUGACUAUGGGCGAAAUUGAUUCUGGGCGAGUUUGACUGGGCGUGAUUAAAUUCCUUUUGGUAAUUA